UCCCACCGAGCGUUGGCUAGGUUUUUUUCCUUUUAGCUUUCUGGUGCCCUGCAGAAUUCGGUGCCUGGAGGCUAAAAGGGGGAAAACCUAGCCGAUGUGUGGCGGGA
Molecule: non-coding RNA, 107 nt
Organism: Podarcis lilfordi (Lilford's wall lizard)
Lineage: Eukaryota; Metazoa; Chordata; Lepidosauria; Squamata; Lacertidae
Source: the annotation of a GenBank genome assembly